This 427-nucleotide ribosomal RNA is filed under the name uncultured bacterium. Its description in RNAcentral is "bacterial SSU rRNA". It matches the Rfam family "Bacterial small subunit ribosomal RNA", at positions 355 to 774 of the family's 1533-position model. The record is from RNAcentral.
UGGGGAAUUUUGGACAAUGGGCGAAAGCCUGAUCCAGCCAUGCCGCGUGAGUGAAGAAGGCCUUCGGGUUGUAAAGCUCUUUUAGUCGGAAAGAAAGAGUUGCAAUGAAUAAUUGUGAUUUAUGACGGUACCGACAGAAAAAGCACCGGCUAACUACGUGCCAGCAGCCGCGGUAAUACGUAGGGUGCGAGCGUUAAUCGGAAUUACUGGGCGUAAAGGGUGCGCAGGCGGUCUUGCAAGUCAGAUGUGAAAGCCCCGGGCUUAACCUGGGAACUGCGUUUGAAACUACAAGGCUAGAGUGCAGCAGAGGGGAGUGGAAUUCCAUGUGUAGCAGUGAAAUGCGUAGAGAUGUGGAAGAACACCGAUGGCGAAGGCAGCUCCCUGGGUUGACACUGAUGCUCAUGCACGAAAGCGUGGGGAGCAAACA